CCUACGGGUGGCAGCAGUGAGGAAUAUUGGUCAAUGGGCGCGAGCCUGAACCAGCCAAGUCGCGUGAAGGAUGACUGCCCUAAGGGUUGUAAACUUCUUUUAUAGAGGAAUAAAGUGAGGCACGUGUGCCUUUUUGUAUGUACUUUAUGAAUAAGGAUCGGCUAACUCCGUGCCAGCAGCCGCGGUAAUACGGAGGAUCCGAGCGUUAUCCGGAUUUAUUGGGUUUAAAGGGAGCGUAGAUGGGUUGUUAAGUCAGUUGUGAAAGUUCGCGGCUCAACCGUGAAAUUGCAAUUGAUACUGGCAGCCUUGAGUGCAGUUGAGGUAGGCGGAAUUCGUGGUGUAGCGGUGAAAUGCAUAGAUAUCACGAAGAACUCCGAUUGCGAAGGCAGCCUACUAAGCUGCCACUGACGUUGAUGCACGAAAGUGUGGGUAUCAAACAGGAUUAGAUACCCGGGUAGUC
RNAcentral lists this ribosomal RNA (460 nucleotides) under uncultured bacterium. RNAcentral's name for it is "partial 16S ribosomal RNA". It matches the Rfam family "Bacterial small subunit ribosomal RNA", at positions 338 to 795 of the family's 1533-position model. The record is from RNAcentral.